This 21-nucleotide non-coding RNA is filed under the name Caenorhabditis elegans. Lineage: Eukaryota; Metazoa; Nematoda; Chromadorea; Rhabditida; Rhabditidae. The record is from RNAcentral.
UCGUAAAUGUGCCAAGCAGUC